Molecule: ribosomal RNA, 813 nt
Filed under: Sclerotinia trifoliorum
Lineage: Eukaryota; Fungi; Ascomycota; Leotiomycetes; Helotiales; Sclerotiniaceae
Description: partial large subunit ribosomal RNA
Rfam family: Eukaryotic large subunit ribosomal RNA
Source: RNAcentral
AGCGGAGGAAAAGAAACCAACAGGGAUUACCUCAGUAACGGCGAGUGAAGCGGUAAAAGCUCAAAUUUGAAAUCUGGCUCUUUCAGAGUCCGAGUUGUAAUUUGUAGAAGAUGCUUCGGGUGUGGUUCCGGUCUAAGUUCCUUGGAACAGGACGUCAUAGAGGGUGAGAAUCCCGUAUGUGACUGGAUACCUAUGCUCAUGUGAAGCUCUUUCGACGAGUCGAGUUGUUUGGGAAUGCAGCUCAAAAUGGGUGGUAUAUUUCAUCUAAAGCUAAAUAUUGGCCAGAGACCGAUAGCGCACAAGUAGAGUGAUCGAAAGAUGAAAAGCACUUUGGAAAGAGAGUUAAACAGUACGUGAAAUUGUUGAAAGGGAAGCGCUUGCAAUCAGACUUGCACUUGGUGUUCAUCAGGGUUUCGUGCCCUGUGUACUUCAUCAAGUUCAGGCCAGCAUCAGUUUGAGUGGUUAGAUAAAGGCUUGGAGAAUGUGGCCCUCUUCGGGGGGUGUUAUAGCUCCAGGUGCAAUGUAGCCUACUUGGACUGAGGACCGCGCUUCGGCUAGGAUGCUGGCGUAAUGGUUGUAAGCGACCCGUCUUGAAACACGGACCAAGGAGUGUACCUAAUAUGCGAGUGUUUGGGUGUUAAACCCAUACGCGUAAUGAAAGUGAACGCUGGUGAGAACCCUUAAGGGUGCAUCAUCGACCGAUCUUGAUGUCUUCGGAUGGAUUUGAGUAAGAGCAUAUUGGGUGCGACCCGAAAGAUGAUGAUCUAUACGUGAAUAGGGUGAAGCCAGAGGAAACUCUGGUGGAGGCUCGCA